CAACUUGGAAAAUCACCGAGCUACAGAAAGAGCCUCUCACCGAUUCAGAACGUUCACACACAGAGCGCGAGAUAGAGGACAGUGUGCGAGCUGUCACUGAAGAAAGACGCACAUGUAUCAGGAAACUGUUCUUGUGCUCGUGGACCGUCAACACAUCAAAUUAACCAUAGUUACUCGUACAUGCCAGAUUUUUAUAGUGACUGUAAACCGACUGGUAUGGAAUGUGUUUGUGCCGAACAUUUUAAAACUUGACUAAGGUCGAUUUGAGAGGGGUGGACUACAGGAGAAACCUCAUGGGCUACAACAGUGGUUGAGGUGGGCUGUCCAUGAGAGCCUCCUACCUCCCAGGAUGGAUGACAGUCCUGGGCCUGUCCUCCUACAACUACACUCCUCCUACUGGGUCUCUGGCUUCAUCUCCCCUCCUUCCAGUGUCUGAGUGCCUGGCGUUCCUUACCUCCUGGGCCCCAGCCACUCCAUCACCUCCACAAUGACACAGAUGGACUACAAAUACAGCCUGCUGGGCCCUCCGGAUGACGACUACAGGAAGAUGCCCCUGCUACUUCAGGUGGACAGCCUGUUUGCCGUGCUGCAGGUAAAGAGGGAACCACGGCGGCCCUGGAGCACUCUAGGAUUCUUCCGGAGAGGAAAACUGUACAGUUUCUUGUUCGGCCUGGCAGUGAUGUUCCUCAUCAUGGCCUCCUAUGUCCUGACUGGGGAUAAGAAGAACUUGCUCCUCACCCCCUCCCCCUACAACUUCCCCAGCCUCGUCAACCCAGGACCAUUCCCCUUCAACCUGUCCUCAGCCAAGGACUACGCCAACAUUAAGCUGUUGGUGAAGACCAUCACCUCCAAAGUGGAGUUCAUCAGUCGCCAGCCACCAGAUAUGAAAGCACUGGUACACAGUGAAACCCAUAUGUUUUCUGUUAUCCCCCGCAAGUUCCUGCCUAACAUCAAGAACCCCUGCUGGUAUGAGGUGCACACUGGGAACAUCACUGUGGACCCUUACAGUGCCAACCUGUACGCCCGGUACUCACAGCGUUUCCGAACCGUGUUCGAGAACCUGAGGAACGCAUUCAGGGAACACUUGUACCGCCGGGCGGGCAAGUACUACCGAAUACGGUGUCUGCCUUACUUCUACAUCAUUGGCCAGCCCAAGUGCGGCACAACGGACCUGUACGACAGGCUAAGGCUUCACCCAGAUGUCAGGUUCACCACUUUUAAAGAGCCGCACUGGUGGACUAGGAAGAGGUUUGGUAUUAUUCGUCUGAGUGAUGGAUUCCAUGACCGCUACCCAGUGGAGGACUACUUGGACCUCUUUGACUUGGCUGCCUACCAGAUCCAAGACCACCUACUGGUCAACUCCUCUGGAGCGCCUAAGCAACGCAAUAUUAUCAUAGGAGAAGCCAGCGCAUCCACCAUGUGGGACAACAAUGCCUGGGUCUAUUUCUAUGACAACACCACUGAGGGGGAGCCCCCCUUCCUCAUCCAGGAUUUUGUCCACGCCCUGCAGCCCGAUGCCCGCUUCAUUGUCAUGCUCAGGGACCCUGUAGAGAGGUGGGAAUCUCUCCCUCCUCUCAUGCAAUCUCUCCCUCCAGGCUUUACUCAGACUAUCUUUACUUCGGGAUUGCCAAUAAGUCUGCAGAGGACUUCCACGAGAAGGUGUCAGAGUCUCUGCAGCUUUUUGAGGGGUGCCUUACAGAGUACAAGAUGCGUGCCUGUGUGUACAACACAACACUCAACAAUGCAAUGCCAGUCAGGUUGCAGGUUGGCCUGUACAUUGUGUACAUAUUAGACUGGCUGACGGUCUUCAGCAAAAAUCAGAUUUUGGUCCUGCGCCUGGAAGACCAUGCCUCAAAUCGGAAAUACACAAUGCACAAAGUCUUUAAUUUCCUCAAUUUGGGACCAUUGACGGAGCAGAAGGAAGCAGAGAUCACCAGAAGCCCAGCGUCAAACACCAGGAGACCAGCCGACAAGAACCUGGGACCCAUGUUGCCCAUCACCAAGGAGAUCCUGAGGGACUUCUACACACCAUUCAAUGAGAAACUGGCUAAAGUGCUCCGGAAUGACUCGUUCCGCUGGGAGAGCUGUUCAAAGCUUGUGUAAAGAAUGACCACCUCAAAAACCACUGACACAUUUAGUAGUCCCAAACAGUUUUUGUUUGUUUCAUCUCUCCCAAAGUGCCCAUGAGAAUCAAAAUCCUUCUAUUUAAAUGAAUACUUAAGUUAUGAUGUGGAGAUGAAACAAAGAUGGAGAAAUAGCGCAACUCCUUUUUGUUCUGGAUUUUUUGUGGGUUGGGGGUCUUUUUUCGAAUUCAAAAAAGCAAGCACAAACUUUAAUCUGACCGGAUGAACAUUAAACAGUGGAUUCCAAGUGGAACAGGCUCUGGUGUUAUCUUUUUAAAGAUGCGUGUGAUGUUUGGGUGGAUGAUUGCUUUGAAGGAGCAAAGACAACCAAUCAGCAUUGAAAUUAUUCACCUUGAUUUGCCAUACUAACAAAAAAAGUCUCCCACUCUGCAGUCUGCAGUCACAAAAGCCAUCACAAAAUGUAUGUGAAUAGUACACUACAUGAAUGCCUGACUGACCACUCUUGGAGAGUAUGAAGAAUUAUUAGCAUUACAAUAUUGCCCUCUGCUGUUUGAAAUAAAUUAUAUCAAUAAAACGGUUUAAAUCAAAUAAUGUGUGAAAUGUGAAUA
Molecule: RNA transcript, 2692 nt
Organism: Hypomesus transpacificus
Lineage: Eukaryota; Metazoa; Chordata; Actinopteri; Osmeriformes; Osmeridae
Gene name: carbohydrate sulfotransferase 15-like
Exons: 8
Source: RefSeq, a predicted model, not a curated record